This 437-nucleotide ribosomal RNA is filed under the name uncultured bacterium. Its description in RNAcentral is "bacterial SSU rRNA". It matches the Rfam family "Bacterial small subunit ribosomal RNA", at positions 355 to 786 of the family's 1533-position model. The record is from RNAcentral.
UAGGGAAUUUUCGUCAAUGGGGGGAACCCUGAACGAGCAAUGCCGCGUGUGUGAAGAAGGUCUUCGGAUCGUAAAGCACUGUUGUAAGUGAAGAAUGCCAUAUAGAGGAAAUGCUAUGUGGGUGACGGUAGCUUACCAGAAGGCCACGGCUAACUACGUGCCAGCAGCGCGUAAUACGUAGGUGGCAAGCGUUAUCCGGAAUCAUUGGGCGUAAAGGGUGCGUAGGUGGCACGAUAAGUCUGAAGUAAAAGGCAACAGCUCAACUGUUGUAUGCUUUGGAAACUGUCGAGCUAGAGUGCAGAAGAGGGCGAUGGAAUUCCAUGUGUAGCGGUAAAAUGCGUAGAUAUAUGGAGGAACACCAGUGGCGAAGGCGGUCGCCUGGUCUGUAACUGACACUGACGCACGAAAGCGUGGGGGAGCAAAUAGGAUUAGAUACC